This is a long non-coding RNA of Mustela lutreola (European mink), 21255 nucleotides long. RefSeq lists it as uncharacterized. The transcript has 3 exons. NCBI's taxonomy places the organism in Eukaryota, Metazoa, Chordata, Mammalia, Carnivora, Mustelidae. The record is from RefSeq and is a predicted model, not a curated record.
UUGAAAAGCACACCUUUACUUAUACAGAAUGGAAGGACAUGGAGGCCAAUGGGCUCUUAGCCCCCAUCGUGCCCCUGGGCUGUUGGGGUGCCCCACUCUGGCAGCCACCGCUAGCCGAGUUCCCCUCAGGAUGGGGGCAACCACUUAGCACCAUGCUCGAGUACUCCUGGGUUCAGUAGUACUCAAAAGAAAGAGGAUGCUGCUCUGGGAAGUUCCUAGUUAAGGUGGGAGUGGACAGUGACUGGGACAGCAACAGGCUCAUAGGACAGCUUCUGCCCCAAAGCAGAGGUUCCCAGCCAGCAGCUGUGGCAUCUCCUCCUGGACUUCUGGGGGCAGCCACCGUGUCAGUCCGCUCUGGGUCUCUGGGUAAGUGAGGCUAAGGGGUUGUUCUUCACCUUGUAAGUUCCGAUUCUGGGUGCCCAUUCUACCCUGCAGAGCUUCAUGGAGUGAGCUGGACAACGUGGGCCAUGGCGGUCCUUCUUGUCCUUAAAACCCACACCCGUGUGCCUUGCCACCUGUCCGCCAAACCUCUCGUGCCUCCACACCCUCAUAGAUGACGUGGUUUUUACACCCACUGGUACCGGCGUGGUCAGGGAGAGGGAGCCUUGGGCAAGGCUUCUGGGAGCAGGUGAGACAAGAAUGGUGUUUGGAGGGUGCGGAGAUGGCAGUGAGAUGGGGAAGCCCAUUCCAGGCCAGGGAAUGGCAUGCAGGAAUGUUCAGCCGCGGCAGGUGUGCGCUCAUGACUGUGUGAGCGGGAGCUCUGGCUGGGGCCAGGCAGAAAUCCCAGCCCCCUGGGCUCCCCCCAGCCCCAUACCCUUAUAUAGCCUUCCUCACGCUCCCAGAGCUCGGGGGUGGGGACGGAGCCCUCCCCCUACUGUACUCCUGCGGGGAGCCCGCAGCUAGCUGGGUGGGAGCCCACUCCCUCAGGAUCGUCUUGUCAUCACAGCCGGAGUCAGCUGUUGGUUUGGGAAGCCUUCCCUGGUCCAGUGUUUCACCGUGCGCAGCCAGAAAUAUAACCCUCCUGUUUGCCAAGAGCAUUGGAUCUUGGCAGGCAUCCGUGUGGCCUAUUUUAAACCAAAGGGAGCCGAGAGAGGUGCCUCCCAGGCUGAGCCAAGGACCCUUUUCUUAUGGGCCCAGUGGGGCUACAGGGGUCUUGUCACUUUCUCCCUCCAUGGGCUGGUGGACAACAGUCUUGAGGGGAGAGUGCAGGGGAUGGGAAAUAGGGCUGUUUUGGGGCCUCUAGAAGAGGCUUUAUACGAUUACAUGGGGAGCCCUAAACUGACCCUGGAAAGUUCGGUUCUUUAGCUCCCCUGUGUUGUUGUGGCCGUAUAUGGGUGACCUGUUUGUCACCUGGAGAAAGGGGGCAUGCAUGGACCUGCCCUCUCUCUCAAAGAGCUCCUCUGACCUCGGAGAGUGGGACAUCUCCUGAGCCCCUGUCAUCCUGCUUCAUUGGCCAGAGUCCCAGGCAGAGCCUCCUCGAAGCAGACCCAAGUUUGUAAGCAAACCAGAUAAAAAGACAGCAGGAUUCAACUGCUUACACGGCUGCCCGCUGGGUCUGUGAACGGAGCCGUCAUGUGAUCGCUCCUGAAGGAUCGGCAGGGGCCGGUGCUCCGGAUCUUAGCAUCUGCAUCUGACUGCCUGAGCUUCCCAGUGGGCCAGUUUCUUAAUCUCUGGGAGAGCCUCGGUUUCUUAUCUGUAAAUGGGGAUGAUCGUGAUCCCUACGUCAUUGAUCUUAGUGGGGGUGCAAUGCAUUAAUGGGUCUGAGGGGCGGGCACCUGCUGCAGAGAAGGGCCACGUGAGCUUGGCCACUCUGGUGGCUGCUGCUGGGACUUCUGUAGCCUGUGCGGAGUUCCCAGAGUAUCUCGUAGACCGUGCUUGCAGUGGGGCUGAAGCCUGGAGAGGACAGGCCACUGAUGGGCCCAGGAUCAUCUUAGGUAGAAAAUAGUCAUCCUCCAUUAAGCAUCCACAGAGCAACAUGUAAGGGUAGGAAUCUGGUUGCUGUUCCCAAGGAGCCCCGCCAUAGGAGGCUGAAUGUCAGUGGUGGUGGUGACGGGGUGUUCAUGCCAGACCAUACAUAGGGAGGCGCCAUAGCAUGUCCCUGGGGAUCAUUCUGUCCACUGUGCUUCAACCCAGUGGCAUGCUCUCGUGUGGGCACAUGGAUGCUUAGAGCCCUGGAGAUUCUGAUGCAUGGGCCUGGGGCAGGGCCUGGGCAUCUGCAAUGUCACAGACCUUCUUGGGUGACUCUGAUGCCCAGCAGGGGAGUGGAGGGGUAGGGAUGGUGGAGUCACCCAGAGCUGGGGACAGAGCCUAACUGCUUGGUCUCAGGUGAUUGUGCCCGCCUCCUCAGGCUGGUGUGGUACUGAGUGGACUCUCAACACCCAUCCCAGAACCUAGUGCGUGAGCCUGUUCUCCAGACAGUGACAGCGGGGGUGAUCUUGAAGCAUGGGCAUGGGGUGGGGGGUGGGGGCACUCCUCUGUCAGGCCCUUGCCUUGCCUUCUUUGGACCAGGUGCUGCCUGCCUCCAGGACUCCAGCUUCUUUCCCAUACCCUUUCAGUCUUAGACAUCCCCCCUGCAACAUCCCUAUAUUGGAGGCCGAAACGGUAGGCGGGGCCUCCUCAUCUUAGAGGUAAGGAGGACGGGGACCUUGGCCCCCUCCUGGGUCAGGACAGCAGCUGUCUUUUCAACUGGCUUAUGCCUGAGCUGCAGGCUCCACAGUGGCACUCAGCACAUCUCUCCACCAGAAGGAGAGCUAGUGUGAACGGGUUGGGUCUGGCUCAUGCAUCUGCUGACGACGCUGAUGACAGUGGCAGUGACAAUAUUAUCCAGUGCCUGUGGGACCUUUACUGGGUACCAGAUGCUGCUUGAGGUGCUUUCUGUGCCUUAACUUAUUUUUGCCUUGUGACAACCCUGGAGGAGGUACCAUUAGCGAACCCAUUGAACAGAUGUGGUAGGUUGAGUCGCCAAGGAGCUGUUAGCUGGGGAGGGCCUUGUAUCCCUGUGUGCCUUUCCCUAGUCUUGGUUCUUUUUGUAUCAAGUUCAAGCCUGUUUUCAGGAGUGGCCCGUGGCUGGGGACAGGCGUGGACGUUUCUCUCAGUAGUUUGUAAGCACCUCAUGGGAGGGAUGCUGCAGGCAUGCCUGUGUAGUGACUGUUGAGCGAAUUGUGUUUGCUGGUUUCCAGGGGACAGGGGAGAGGGUGGCAGCUGUCCCAUCACUAGGAGAGCUGUGCUGACGCCAACCUGCCCACCCUGUGGGCUUCCUGCUGCCGUUGUCAGCUCCCCUUUGUCCCCCAGAGCCCAGAAUAGCCAUCCGCAGUCAAGGGAGACAAUGAGGAGGGAGGCACGUGGCUGAGCUGGAGGGCCGAUGGGUGCAGGACGGUCAACCUUGGGGCUUCCGGCCUGGCUCCGACUGUCCCGCCAGCUCCGGGCUUUUUAUAGCAAGGCUGCGUUAGGCGAGCCCAGCGAGUUUGUGCAUGGGCCGCAUCUGAUGGCAGCAUGUGGACCCUUCGCAGAGGUGGCCUGAGGAGACGUGGCCCCUGGGCUGACCUGGGUUUGAGUCUCUGCAGCAGCUGACUUGCCCUGCCCAUAGCCAGUCAGCGCAACUGAAAAAGGAAACGGGCCAUGCCCUACCCAGCUCUAUUAUUAAACUUUUCUCCAGCACUUUCUCUGCACUCAGCCCUUUGCCACCAUAUUUGCGAGACUGUCCUGGUGCCACCCCAAGUGGAUGUGGCCAUAGGAAGCCAGGAUAGGGAGGACAGAACAGGUGCUGGGUUUGGUUUCCUGCAAGUGCCAUCAGGAUUUCCUUUUUUAUUUUUUAUUUUUAUAUUUUUUGGUGGCUGAAGAAUGACUUAUUUGCAGAAGGAACUUCUUCGGGAACCUAGCCCCAUAACCCAAAGUCAUAGAGCCUUUCCCUUUAGGUUACUCUUAGCAUAAGGCAAGCGUCCUCUAGACUGGACAGACACGCUGUUGGUGAAAUCUUGGUUCAGGCCAAUAAACGUACUCUUGAGGAUACGCCGGUACUGGGAAGUCUGAGCGUUCUCCUGGGCCCAGAGCAGAGUCCAGUUCAGUGGACAUGUGGCCCGUGCAGGAACAAAGCUGGAUUUCCCUUUCAUAUCUCCGAGGCAUGGGCAGUUGCUCUUACUCUUUCCUUGAGGGGAAGGGCGGUCUUUCCCUCGCCAAUCACAUCCUUGAGGGCCGGGCUGUUAGCUGGUCACUCACCCCUGCCUUCCUUCCCUCCCUCCGUCUCCCUCUCAGCCCCUGCUCCCUCCCUUCCCCUCUCCUCCCUUCCUUCCUUCUGUCUAGGAAGUUGAGGUUUACAACAGAAUUGAGAGGAAAAUUCAGAGGUUUGCAGCGUACCCCUUGCCUCCCAAACAUGCAGAGCCCUGCAUCACUGACCAGAGUGGUGUGUAUAUAUGUUUUUCACCACGAAUCAACUUUUGUUGACUCAACAAUCGUCCAGAGUCCAUAGUUUACCUUAGGGUUCACUCUUGCAGGUGUGACUUCAGUGGGUUUGGGCAAACACACAGUGUCACGUAGCCAUCAUCGUGGUAUCAUACCGAGUGCUUUUACUGCCUUAAAAAUCCUCUGGGCCCUGCCUGCUCAUCCUUUUACCCCUGCAACCGCCCGUCUUCUUUCUGUGUCCGUAAAGAACGUCGCAUGGUUGGAAUCACACCGUAUGAUCUCAGAGUGGCUUCCUUCACGUAGCGACAUGCACGUUAAGUCUCCUCUGUGUCUCUUCGGGGCUCAGUAGCUCGUUUCUGUUCAGCACUGAAUGUGAUUCCAUUGUCUGGAUGGGCCUCCUCUUUUGCAGAGGUGGGGAGACCUGUCCCCCAACUAGACCCAUUCCCGCGUCAAGACUCACUUACACAAGUGUCUCCACUCCCACUCUCUCCGUGGUUUUGUCCUUGCUUUCCAUUUGUUGGGUGUCAGAGCUGGGGAGGUGAUGAAUGAGGAAGGAGGAGAGGGGUCAGGGCGCCGGCGGUAGGAGGGGGCGGGACAGGCAAGCCUGAGGCCUAGCGGUGAGCUGGUGAGAAGCGGGGGAGCCAAGGCCCAGCCAAUGGGGGGCCCGGCGCUGCCCAAGGGGUGUAAGACGUUGUUGAACACAGCCCUUGGUGCCUUGCAGGGCCACUCGGAACCUGGCAAGGGCCCCCUGCAGGGGUCCGGCUCGGCCGAGUCCCCGAGGCCGAGGCCACAGGCCUGGUGCUGGGCACUUCACUGUGACGGGAGGUGUCUGGUUCCCUGCAGAGGCGAGCAGGUUAUAAAUAGUGCAUGACGGGCUGCUGUAGCGUAAUCGUCGAUUUUGAGAGUGCCCUGGCGAGGGUUAGGAGGGAUGGACGAGGUUAGAUUCGGUCCUGUUGGCUGAUUGGCAUUUCUUGAGCGGGGUGCUAAUCCCUUCAGGAGGUCAGAUAAGCUCUCUUGCGGCGCCCCUGAUCUUGACUUUGAGGCCAAGUUAACUCUUUCAGGGGACUGCCAAAGAACCCCAAAGUCAUGACCACUCCACGUUGCCUAAAACAGAGCAGAACGGGGCUUGGGCAGGGCCCGUCCCAGGCAGGGUUGGUUCCUGAAUUACAGAAUGCACUUUGCUAUGUGGCCAUGGCUCCAACCAGGCCAUCCAAAUGGAGGGCUGUUCUGGGACAGCCUUGUGGUUAAAGAGGACAGAAGCGACUUCUCCCUGGGAAGUCGUGGAGGCCUCAGGCAGCCUGACUUUGCUGAGUAUCAGGGGUGAGGCAGAUGGAAGGCUCUUAGCAGGCAGCACUGAAGGUUGGGGGUUCCUUCUACCACCAGUUCUGUGUGCCAACAACCCCCAUAGUCCAAUGAGUUGGGAGACCCCUCCCAGUCACGUCUUCUGUGACCCUCGAAAGUAAAGGCAGAAAGCUCCCCUCCUAAAACUCACUGGGCUUUUGGGGGUUUCCUGCCCCUGCCUGGUCUGCUGGAGGUACCAUGCCUCACCCUGAGUGCAGAGUUAAGGGAAGCUCUUGGCCCUGUUUGCCCCACCCCAGGGGCUCUGGGGCAGCAGGUGGGUAGUUCUUUGCAGCCAGCUCUGGGGGUGCUCGGUCCUUCCCCUUCAAGUGCAUGGGGUUCUGGCUCAGCUUUCCUCUCUGAGUCUGACCUGCUUCCCUCCCUAAGCUGGGGGUCCCGCUCUAUUUCCUUCUGUGAUGGAUAGGCCAUGCUCACGGGUUUCUUGGAACCUCCUCUUUCUAGGACCGUAAAACCUGGUCCCCGUGGAGUGUCACGGCCCCCAGUGGGCCGUCUCCUGCUUUAUGGCUGCUGGAUCUCGGCGGCGCUCAUUCCCCCGUCACAGAGCUGUGGCAUCCAAGAACAACAGCAACUGCUUGUUCCAUUAUAAACUCAACUAGCUGAAACCCGCUGAGACGCGGGGGGAUAAAUUAUCCCCAACAAGCUCUCCUGUUAAAAGCCAGGCCCCCUUCCACUGCUCCCACCCGGUUCCCCUUUGUGGGCAUCUCAGCGGGGUUUCUGGAGCCUGCCUGCUGGCUGUCCCUUUCCAAUGCCCUUCCUACCUGCUGUGAUGGCUUCUCUCUAGCCACCGAGUGUGACAAGUCAGGAGGCUUUGGGCAGAGGACUAAAACUCCCGGUGCCCAGAAGUGGAGAAGAUUGGAUUUUAUUCUUCAGUUUCUUUCUGUUCUUUGUCCGAGAAGGAUACCUCCAAAGCAGUAGGAUCUUAGCUGAUCUUAUAGGGUGACUCAGGAUGGGGGGAAUCAUCCUGCCAGACAGGGGCUCUCCGGGUGAUGAUGAGUUGCUCACAAUGCGUGUACUUGGAGAUAAGCCUGUGGUCAGCUUGAGGGGGACCUUGGCUGCUCGGCCAGAGGAGCUUGGGCUCCUCACGCAUGCGGUGGGGCAGGCUGGGGGGUGUAGCUGAGCUCCUGAGCAUAGAGAUGACACGGUAAAAGUGGUCUUAGGAAGAAUAGAAUAAUUGCGGCAGGGAAGAGAGGUGCUGGGGUGGUGUUGGCAAGUAUGGGUGUGUCAGGGGCCAGUUGAGAACUGACCAUCUACGUGCAGCUUGACGCUGUCUUGGGCCAAAUCUGCACCCCCCUCCCCAGACUGUCCUUGCCCACAGAUUCUGGGGGUUCGGGAAGGGAGAGCCUUUGUGGCUGACUCUUGUGGGCCCAGGAUGUGUUCUCUAGACGUGGGAAUAUAGUCUGGGGCUCACAACUCUGCUGGGAUGGGGAAGGGCAAGGCAGGCCCUCCUUUCCUGGAGGGAGGCAGACCUCAUGAAGCAUUUUUGGUGUUGCUUGUCAUCUCCUUCAGUGAGCUAGGAAGAGCAGAGGGAGCCAUGGCUCCUUCCCUGUGGCUCAAGCUGCUAUUUGGUAUUUGAGAUCAAGAUGUCCAGUGAGUUGGCUCUUAUCCUCCAUCUUCCUCCUCCCACUGAGGUUGCAAGCAUCUUGGAGUGACCCCAGAUCCCGAGCACUGGUGGGUAAUACCAGUUACCUUUUUCCUGGAACCCCAGUGCCUGCUCCAGGGCAUUCUGCCGUGGCUGGGAAUGUCAGGUCGGUCCGGCAGCGGCUUCCCUUGGUGACUCCCAGCUGUGGUUCCCUGGAAUCUGAGUGCGCCUGGUGUCCGUGGGCAGCGUGGUGUGUUCCCAGAGCCCUGUGGCAGCUUCGCCGCUCCCCUCCCCACGGCCUCUUGGGCUUCAGGUGAGGUCCUGAGACGAGGUGGCUGAGGCGUAAGUGAUGGUGAUACCCAGACAGCCCAGCACCUGGGGAGAAGGAGGAUGAGCUCAUUUAAUUAGAAAGAGCACGUGGGUCUGAUUAACAUCCUUGGAAAAAGAGAAUUUUACAUGAACAUCCGCUCUGAACCCAGCCCUGUGUUUGCACAGCCUUGUGAGUUUGGCCUGGCCUCCAUUGUGUAAAUGAGAAGUUAAGGGCCAGAGUGAUUAAGUAGCUUUCUUAAGGUUGGUGGCCAGGGUGCAGAUUUUAACUCACUCGAGGCCAUCGGCUUUAGAGCCCCCGUUUCAUCCUGUUCUUGUUUGCGGGGGCUCUUUACAUCCCAUGGCAUUCUCUCUGAGCACCCUGCCACUGCUCCCGGGAUCUUGGGGAUGCCCCAGAAGCUUCAUUCAUGUGUCCUAAAUGCUACUUUGAAGGAAAGUUCUCAAGGACAGAGGAUUUCCAAGUCCUGGUCUCCUUCUUCCCUUCGUUCCUCCUGUCCCCAGAUAUUUAUGGAACCUUUAUCGCGGGCUGCCGCAGCGCAGUGCCCAGCACAAGGAACAAGUCAGAGCUCCCUCAUCUCCUAGAAUUCGUGUUCUUAUAGGGAAGACAGACAUUCUAAACAAACACUCUAAGUCAUAACAGAUUGUCAUACAGGAUGGGAAGGAAGCAAGGGAAACUUGAAGGGUAAGAAUAAACCAACCACGUGACCACCUAAGGAAGAACAUUCCGGACAAAGGAAACAACAAAUGCAAAGUAGCGUGGGGCUCUUUGGGAGCCAACAGAGGUCGGUAUGCACAGAGCGAGGACGCGAGGAAGGCAGAGGCCAGAUCCCUCCAGAUCUCGCAGGCUGCGGGAAGGAUUUGGAAUUGGGAGUUUGAACAAGAAUGGUUCUGGCUGCUCUCUGGAGAAGGGGUUAGAGGAGGGCAAGAGUGCAGACGGGAAAGCAGAACAGGUGGGUGGCGGUUCAGGAAGAGAUGGGAGCUGUGGACAUGGAGAGAAAGGGACGGACCAGAGAUGGAACUUGGAGGCAGAACCGGCCACACGAGGGAAUGGAGGGCGUGAGGCACUAGGUCGGACAAAGAGCCAGUGGUGACUCUUGGGUUCCCCGUGGUGGGAGCAUCAAGAUUUCUCCCAUGAAGCUAUUAAGAGAGAGAUGCCCGUGAGGCAUUUGGGUGGAGAGAGCAAAUAGGUGAGUGGGCACACGAGCCUGCAACCCAGAGAGGGGAUGCCCACUUCUGCCCUGCGGUGGUCCGGCCAAGCCCUCUGGGGUCCUGGGAGGCACUCAGUGCUGCUUGACAUCGUUUCUGUCAUCGUCUGCUUAAUGAUGACCAUGGAAAGAAAGCAAGAUGAUUGCAUGACUGAGUCACACAAAAGAAGAACCUUGGUCAUCCCUGUGAUCACGUGCCUUGGGGUAGGGGCGUGGAAGUAGCCGCAUUUGGCAGGACGUGGCUGGGCUACUGAAGAAUUCAGAUGCAUCUGGUUUUCAUGGAGGGGACCUUGCUUGACCCCUGCGGUCCUCGACAGGGUAUGGGAUGCACCUAAGCUCUGAAGUGAUCGAUUCUGAUUUAUAUCCAGGUUGGGGUAUAAUUAGCAGUCUUGAUUUACUGUCACUGUGGCCUGAAGCCUUGCCAUCUCUGCCUUCUGUUUGAGUGGAUGUACGUGGUGGGUUCCUGAGGCACGGUGCUGAAUGGGCAUCCGAUUGACUCCUUGGCAGAGCACAGACGGCAGCAGCUCCCUGCCAAAAGAAAGCAGCUCACAAAUCGGGAAAGCGAGCUGCCUCCCGGAGAUGGGUGGCUGGGGAACAGGAGGACGGCAGGGUGAGUAAAGCAUGUCUGGGCAGACGUGCUGGGCCCUGGUGGGGGAGGACGGCCCGCCGAGGCCGGGCAGGUCGGCUGGGGCUGGGACAGCUGGGCUCCCCCGCUCGCCACCACUGGCCCCCGGCUGACAGCCGCCCUGCCUGGUCUCUGUGACUGCGGCCCAUAAAUACUAAUAACGACUCCUGUUUGUAGCUUUGUGUGCAGCACCACGCUGGGAGUUUAUUUUCAUGAAUCUCAUUUAAUCCCAACUACGGCUCUCUUUGGUAGGUACCACUGAUCCCCCCUUUUAAAAGCCAGCACUGGGAACGUUGUUUUCUGAGAUGCACCCACACCCCCAAGGGUGAAUGAGGGUGCUGGGAGUUGGAACCCAGUCUCCUUGGUUCCAAGGCCAGAGCUGUGCACAGCCUUCCUGGACCUGGACGUCAGCACCGGCCAGGUAGUCCUAUGUGGUGGCUGGCUUCUGUCUUCUAGACUUGCUGGGUCCAGCUGGCUUGGUUGUUCCUGGGAUAGGGACCCCAUCUCUGGCUCAUGUGCUUUGGGGGAGCCUGGUGAGAGACUGAUGGCAAAAUUCUCUGUGAACAGGUCACCAGUCAGACUUUCCUUGUUUGUCCUUUCUAGGAAGUGGACAGUCUUUGAGUUGCUUUUGUGAGUUGCUCUGAAGCUCCAUUCCCCGGGGAGGGGGUGUUGGUCAGAUGAAGCUCUUCUGCCAACCACGUAGGCUGGUUACAGGCACUGCAUGAGAGGAGGGCUUGACUCCCUUGGGCUCAUUUAUAAAGCGGGGUGACCCCUCCUCACGAGGCUGUUGGGACUGUGUGUGUGAGAGAGACGGUGUAUGUGAAAGAACAUUCUAGAAAACAAACGGCAGGUGAUUGUGAUUAUUUUUACCAUCUCCCCUUUUAUGAAAAUACAGGCUCAAAAAGAAGGCCUCUUGGCCUUCUUUUAUUUUAGUUAUUAGUUUAUUUCGUUUCUUCUUGCAGAGGUAAAACCAACAAUUUCCAUAAUUCUGGUGAGAUCAGUGAAGUAGGUAUAUUACCUGGGCUGGACUUUGGCAGCCCCAACCCACGUCCACGCCAUACACACACCCCUGCCGCUCGCUCCCUGACCUCGCCCACCUUCUCUGCCCACUGCCCCCACCCUGAUCCAUCCAGCCGUGGCACGUGGCACGCUUCCUUCCCUCCCUCGAGGCGGGCUCUCUUCCUGGGUCCCUCCCUUCUUCAACUCUCCCUUCCCAGCCGCCUUGACUCAGAUCGGCCUAGAAGGUUGUUGAAAAGGUUUAACAAAACGAGGUCUUGGGUUUUUCUUAUAGGAGUCACAGAGAGGUUUCAGCCAUAGGAUUUGGAAUUAUAUCAAAUUGGAUUAAAAUCCCAGGCCCGCCAGCUCCCUGUGGGCGCUUAGACGAGAUCCGUAAUCUCCAAUCCUUUGUUUUUCCAUGUGCGCAGGGGAGGGAGGGUAAGGAGAAUAACUUUCUUGUAUGGUUUUUGUGCAGAGGGGCUGGCACCGUGCCUCGAAGGUAACGUGGGCUCACUCAAUGCUGGCGUCCUCAUCAGUGCUCUUCCUGUCUGCAUCAUCGAUGUCACCCCCCUGACACCACUGUGUCACCACUGCCACUAUCCACCGUCACUGCCUGUGCUCUUCCUGCCCCUGCCCCAAGGCACAAGUAGGCUUCCAGGCCGUGGAGCCUUGCUUCUGCACAGCGUGCCACAGCCAGCCGGCCUUCCUCCAGACGCAGACGUGUGUGGACGACAUCCUUUUUGGCCGAUUUGGGAUGACCUAGGUCUGCGCAGUGGCGCAUGGCGUGCCAGAACACGGUUUCCGGAGCCCAAUUUCCUGGGUCCCUUCACCACCCAACCUCCCUGCAUCUCUGCUCUCGCACCUAUAACACAGGAGGACAAAAAUAUCCCCGCCCCCACCACCGAGAGGGUUAAAUGAGGCCGAAGAGGCAAAGCCCUAGGAACGGCGCGGUGCCUGGUCUGUGCUGGAGAACCCUUGCGCAUUCCCGCCCCCUGCAGCAUGGCGUCGAAGGGCCAGGGAGGUCAGGGGCAGGGACAAGGAGUGAGGCCUGGCCAGCCCAUGGACAGGCAGCUUUCAGGGGAGGGCCCCGAAUCACAUGCAUAUGGACAAGAGCAGUAGGGUGGGCCAUGGUCUCCUGUCGUGCCAGGAGGACGAAGACAUGGGCGGGGCCUGGCAUGGAGGGGCCUCGGGGGCUCACUUAGGUUGCUGCUGAGACCACAUCUGACAGAGGGAUGUGACCAUCACCAGCCUCUGUCCCCCACAAAGCCUGUCAGAAAUGCCAAAUCCUGGCAUGGGUGGACACGCUCCCAUCUGGUGGAGUAAAUAAUCAGGCCGUGGGCAUCGGAUCUCUGGAGAGAAGACCAGUCAUGUGGCGGCCACGUCCAAGGGUUAUAGCGGAAGUGUGCGUGGGUGGCUGUCCUGGGGCCGCAGAUGGGCCUGGUGGUCAUCCACGAUCUCUCCUGAUAGCCGUACGUGUAAUUACAGAGUGUUAUUUGCCGAACUUGAGCAGUAGAUGGUUAUUAAAAGGGCAUGCAUUUAUCAUUGCCGGAGAGCUGCCGCUCAGGGACACGUUUGCACCAUGUGACUUCUCUUCGCCUCUCUGGGUGGGGCAGGGGGCACCUUUCCCCAAACAGGAGGACGGCACCCACCCCCUUGUCAGUUCUCCAGGAUGAGUUAUGGUCUCAUCCGGGCUCUUUUCCGGGAUGUGAUGGCUGUUCAAGGGAUCCUUGGCCUGUUCCCCUGCGUUUUCCAAGGAGUUUGAAUAAUAGCACAGGACAUCAUAUGGUGUUUAUAUUCCAAGGAACAAAGUGCUUGGCAGGCACAAUCCUAUUCAUCCUUUCUGUGUCCCCAAGUGCCGGGGAGCUGCUUUCUGUCUCCGAGGCCUUUAGCAGCAGAGCAUCGUCCCCAAAAGUCCAGGUGGCCCACCAGAGCUGCGCAGUGUGUGGCUGUCCCCGAGGCCACCGCCCUGAGAUUUGGGUGGCUGGUGGUUCUGCCUUCUCCGAGAAGCCCCAGUGGCCGCCCGUGUCACUGGGAUCCUGGAAGGCUGGUUUCCUAAGCCCAUCCCUGCCUCCCACGGCAGCCCCAGCCCUGGCUGCACGUAUGCCUCCACGCUUUGAUGCUGUCAGAAGUGCCUUUCUCCCCAGAUGCACAAAAUAAAACAAACGUGGCAGGAAGGAAAAAAUAUGCUGGUGAUUGGAAAAUCCUUUCUGCAGACUCCUUUGACAGGCUCUGCUGAGUCCUUGGCGCCUUCCCUCCCAAUUUACAGCGACCUUGGGAGGGAAGAGCUUGCCUCUGACUGUAGUCCCGCGCGGGUCUGCCCCAGGCUCAGGGGCUCAGGUCAUCAUGGCCCCGGGGGUGCAGAUAAGGAGAGCUACGCCCCAGCACACACAGCACCCCUUCCUACAAGGGCACCCUGCCUGAGUAUGGUACUGGGUGCGGGUGGCCUCAGGCUCCGAGCUGUUUCCUAUCAAGUGUUGACAAGUUCCAGAGUUCAGGGAAAAGACAUGUCCAAGGGUCAUUGCCCUUCCCUCCCCUCCCCCAACUGUCCCAGCAGAGGGCAGUGUGCCAGCUGGCUCCAGGAACAGAGCCUCUAGAAGAGACCAAGGACAAAGGACUGUCAGCUUCCCUCUUGGGAAGUUCUUCGCUUGCCUGCCCCUGUCCCUUCGGAGUUUUAGACUCCUUCCUCUUGUGUGUUCCUAACAAGGGACAUGAAGCACUGUGUGUCCUCCCAGACGUCCUCUGUCUAGGUCCUCAAGCAGAUUUCGCUGUCAGGGCCUCCGACCUCCCGCUCCAGGACACAACAGGAUGGUGGGGUCAGUUGGGCAGCGCCUGGCUGCAGAUGCUCCUGUGUGAGUCCCUUCUCCCCGGCACCCUCUCUGCAUGUUUGGCGGCCAGCAAAUGGCUGUGAUGGCGGUGGGAAUCGAUGUUUAUGGACUGGUGAGUGAUCGCUGCUGCUUUACGAGGCUGGCUGGGGCUAUGUGUCAUCUACCGCUCCUUGGUGUCCCAGCCACACAUCACUCUGUGGUCCUUCUGGGGGCUGUUCCAGAGGCUUCCUGCUGGCAGACUCUGGCCCCAGCGUGGACUCCCCGUGCUGUCCGGGCAUCAGAUGAAUCGGGCUAGGUCUGCUCUCAGCACCCCUACCCUGGCCUUUGAAACCCAGGGAUAGACACAGACUCUCCCUGCCCCCGGGCGGGUCAGCCUGGAGUCCAGCAGAUGCCUUGAUUCAAGUGAGCCCCUGGCUGGACAAAUGCCCUUCGUGCUGAGGCUGGGAAGCCCAGACAGAUGGGCAGUGCUUCAAUAAGGCUGGCCUCCUGCCCUCCCGGGGUCAGAGGACACUGUGGGCCAGGACUGCUGGUACCUAGACCUUUACCCCCAGCCAAGACCUUCAGCAGGGCUGUCCUCAAAGUCUCAAGUGGGAUUUCCUCGUCACAGACUCUGAUUGUCGUAUACUUCUUAGUAUACUUAGUAUACUUCUUAGUUUGGGGGAUACACACAAUACAUGAGGUAUAGUGAUAGGACCCACUCUCAACAGACGGGGACGGGUCUCACAAGCGGGUUACUGUGGUCUCAGCGUCUCUGCAAAGCUCACUGGGGAGAAGUGAACUCUGGAAACAUUACUGAAGAGCUCUGUGCACCUCCGAGCCUUGCAACAUCCAGACAACAGCACCCCUGAAGUUGGGCUGUGUUUAAGUGCUCUCUCUUAGAGCCGUCUGAGAAAAUAACCUCAUUCUGCAAUAAUCAAAAUGUAACUGGGUUUUAGAUAUGCAAAUGCUUUAUGUAAUGUUUAUUUGGAGGAAAAUUCAGCUCAGAAAUAUGGGUGUGAUCUCCCUGUCACCUAUGUAAGCUGGUGAUAUUGGGGGCUGCGAGGUGAAGUUGUGAAGAAAUUGGAGGCUUUGAGAGAAAGUGUGGGGUCAGAAGAAGAAUGACCGAGGAGUCAUGCUGUUUCACUUUAAAUUAUGCACAAGCUCAGCGUGAGCCAAAACCAUGGGGGGCUGCCCAACAAGUCUGGAGGUCUGCGCCUAGAUUACUAGAAGUAUAGAGCCCAGAGUGUAAGGGAUGAGAGGGGUAUCUUUGUACUCCAUGCUGUCCCCUGCAUCGCAGGAAUCUGACUGCAGGUGUGGGACAGGGAUGAGACAAAGUUGUAAAAGCCGUGGAAUAGACUUGGGAAGGCAUGGUAGAUACAGGCCUGCAAAUACUUAAGAGCCUGCCACACUUGUGUUUGGUGGGCUGCUUGAGCAAAUCUAGGACUGAUGUAUGUCAGCCCCAAGGAAGUGCAUUCUUGAGUUACUAAGCAAGAAUUCUUGAUGAACCAGAAUCGUGCAAAGGCAGGGUGCUGGGUAUGGGUGGAUGCUGAGCGUUGGGACCCUGGUGCGUCAGUGGGGACUGGUCUGCCUGGGGCCAGGGACAGCCUCACAUGGAGACUUGUCACCUAGUGUCCACUUCCCUUCUGUGCUCUGAUCUUCCUGCUUGCAGGGUGACUUUGGCAAAGACAUUGUCUGGCUCCCCCUGUCCCCUGCUGCGGGUUAUGGCCAUGACACUGAAUGAGCUGCAGGGCCCCUUGGAAGCAAGGGGUAUCGGCAAUACAAUGACCCCCCCUCCUGAGGCAGAUGUAUUUUCCCUGGGAUGAAGUUCUUGGCAGGCUGGCUUCUCCCAGGGCCAGGCUGGACCAUUACUAGCGGCACGUCGGGUUGUGAAAUGAAAGUCGUUCUGGUUUUUUUUUGUAUUCUCCACAUCCACUAAUUUAGUAAAUGCCAUUAAAUGCUGCACUUGUCUGUGGCUCAUAGAGAGUGCUGGGGAGUGCUGAGACCUAGUGUUUGAAAAGCUCCAACAGAGCAGGGGGGUGAGGCUGGUGGGGUGCCAGGGCCGAGUUGGGGGGCUCUGCACAGACACAAGAGGCCACAGGGAUGAAAACAGAUUGGGGGCUCUGAGGGGAAGCGGGGUAGAUAAGCAGGUGGCUUACACCGGCAAGCGAGGGGCUCCAGGGAGUCAUUUGGGAGUAACUUGGGGCACUUGGGGGUUCUAGGAGUAGAGAUGAAGAGAUGAUGGGGGUGAUUUUAUUCAAGUGGGUUUGUAUGUCUGGGUCUGGUCCUGUUCCUAGGCUGUGGCCUGCUCAGGCCCUCCCACCCCCUCCUACCCAUUCAUCCGUCCAUCCAUCCAUCUGUGUGUCCAUGGAGCAGAUGUUGAUGUAUUCAAGGCAUGUUCUAGGCCCUCCCAUGGAAGAGGAAUAGAUGAACAUGAACCUGGUCCCAGCAGCUGGUGUUUUAGUAGGGGUGGGUGACUAGUCUACACAGAAGGCUUGGCAGGUCCCUGAUGGGCUGCCCUGGGGCCAGCCCUCGCACAGGAGGUCACUCUUGGGGCAGGCCUCCCCUGCAUGGGGGACAGAUUGCUGGCAGCUACAAGGGGAAGCAGGGAGUGGCUGUCUGCUGUGCUAAGUCAGGGGUAGAAGCUCAGAAGGGAGGUUGGUUUGAAGGGGAAAUUAUGGGACUCACCCCCAGAGAAAUGGGAUGUCUGCAUGAAAAAUACAUAAGGACAUGAGGCAGAAAUACGUAUUAAAACUACAAAUCAAUAGGAUUCAAACUAAAGAGGAGGAAAAGUGCCAUGGGGAUAUUUGGCUAAUUACAACAGGCUUAAUAAGUGAGGCAAGCCUGGAAUGCUUGUCCACUCUAUGGCCAUAGCCGGGCUAGGGCUCAGUUUGCCCAGUGUGCAUCUGGUGGGUGGGCCCAUGGGUGACAAGGAAGGUCCCGAGAUGGCCCUUGGAAAGGGCCUGAACCUUCUCCCUUCUGCAGUCAGUGAAGGGCUGCACAAGAGAGCCCUGUAGGAGGGACACCCAAAGCCAUUGCCAGGGAUGAGGCUCUGUUCUAGGCUUUGGGGAGUUAGCAAGGAAUGAAACUGACCCAAACCCCUGCCCUCACGGAGAUCAAGGCCUCAGGCAAAUGCAACGGUAGGAGCUUGUUUUCUUACAUUUCGAUGUGGAUUUAUUUGGGGUGCGGCAUUGAAAACACUUAGAAAUGCCCUCAGUUGGGGCAAGGGGCAGGGAGCAGGAAGGCCGGGUAGUCAGGACGGUCGCUGGUCCUCCCCGGCUGGAGAGGGGUGCUGACCAGGCCUCGACCAUAUCAUGUUGGCUGAUGACCUUGGGUCGGUUGGUGCUAACCUUGGCUAGACCCUGGUUCCCUGAGUCACCCUGCCUCAGCCCAGAGUCUCUUCCUGGCUUGGGUUUGACUGUGGCUUGGUCCUCUUGGCUGAGACAGGCCUCUGGUUUGGAAGGGAAUUUUCCCGAAGGCCCCCAGCUAGUUCUCUGACACUGAGUGUUAGCUGUGCCACUGCGGGCCUCAUCUCCUUCCUACGCGGGGUACCUUCCACGUGGGCUCCUCUCCUCCCUCCUCUGCCCUCCCCCAUUCCUGCUGCACCCUCCCCAGCCCCUUGCUCUAGCUUCAGAGGCCUGCUUCCUGUCUUCCUGCCCUCCUGUCCGGCAAACCUGUUCUGCCCUCGGUUCCUCACUCUUGCCCGUUGCCGCACACCAGACAUCGGUCUCUUCCCUGCCCUGGCCCGGUUCUCACCAGCUUCCCAGAUGGAGUCUUGUUACCUCUUUACUCCUCUCAUGUUUUAUUGUCCCUUCCAGAACCAGGAUGCUGCUCCAGCCCUGGAAGGGGACACACCGGGUUCUUCCUGUGAUGGCUGUCUUCUCGCAGUAGCCAGGGGGUGGGCGCCUGGCAUGGGGCUGGGGCUGGGGCAGGGUUUCUUGGCUUCUCUCCACACAUGGGGCUGGGUUGUUCUUUGUGGUGAGGGGCUCUUCUGGGCAUUGUUGUUGUUUGGCAGUAACCUUGGGCUCUCUUCACUUGGAUGUCAGCAGGAGCCCCCCACUCCAAGCUGUGUGAACCAGAAAUGUCCCCAGACAUUGCCAGAUGUCCCCAGAGGAGCAAAAUCGCCCUGGGUUGAGAACCACCAGGCAGGGAUGCAAUGGCACCGUGUCUCAGGCUUGGCUAAGCUCUUGCUGGCAGGGACCUAAGAAGUUCUCUAGUCUAAAGCCCACAUUUUAAAAGAAAUUGGGCCUCAGAGAGCUAAUGAGUUGUAAGGUCACACAGGGGAACGGCCUGAUGAAAGCAGCAUCUUGGAAAAAGGAUUUAGGCUGCUCCGUGCAGGCUGAGCUGAGAAACAGGCCAGAGGCAGGAAGGGGAGUGUGGCUGGGACCUGGGCGUGAGGCAGGGACUGAGGCAAUGCCUUCCCUGUCUGUCCAGGCUCAGUGUGCACUCAGCGUUCUCCUGGAGUGAGGGUCUGGGAGAGGCCCCACACCAAAAACCCGGAAUCUGGGUGUGGGUCCAGCCUGGCAGUGGGAUGGCUGCGUGUCCCCUGUUGCUGUCCUUAACUGUGAAAUUAGGGCCUGAUUGUUUUCUUCCUGCCUGGGGGUUCUGCCUGUGGGUCUGAGAGGGGAGCAGAGGCGUCAUCUCAACAGGAGAGCCCUGAGGGUAUGGAAGAGUGGCCGUGGGGUUUGCAAGAGGCCCCCCCUUUGCAUGGCUGGGGCGUCAUUUACUCAGCAGACUUUGCGUGCAAUGCCCCCUACACUCCCGAACUGAAUCACAGGCAGUGUGUGGGCACUGCCCCACCUGUAGGCACAGGGCUUACCUGGGAUCCAGCCCAGGGCAUGGUGGGACCUCAGACCGGGAGUGAGAGGGCAGCAGGAAUGGGACCAGAGCCAUGGGCCCUUCUCCUGUGCAGGAAGGAGGCUCCAGGGUGGGGGUUUGGGAAGCUUGUAGACCAAAUCAAAGAGUGUGGAGCAUGAAGUCAGAGAUCUGUUUUGCGAGAGAUGACCAGGUCCUGGGAGUUUCUGAGCCUUGAAGGUUUUCCCAGUUAGAGGCUCUUGGACUCACAGCUGUUCUCCCCAGGAGGGAGCGGGAGAACGGAGGUACAGAGGGGCCCCUGCCCGGCCCGCUCCCCGUGGGAGCUGGCUUCCGGGGCAAGGUGUGCCGGGAGAACUUUCCAGGGCCAGGGAGGGUCCUGGGGGCUCCAGAGUCCCCACAGCAGGGCAGUAGCGAAUGUCCUGCAUCUCCAGGGGUCCCCAAGCCAGUCCCUUUAGCAGGCUCCUCAAUCCCUGGGGAGUGACCUGGCAGCCGUGGGCUUUCCUCUCAAUCAUCCCAGUCUCUGGCUUUUUGAGCCAUAAAUCUUCAGCAUGAAGAUCAUGAAUUUCCAUGGUAUGAUUAAUGAAACAAAAAUUGAGACAGCAGUAUAGAAACUGACCAGACUGAAAAAAGUCCCUGUGAGAAGUUGGAGGACCUUUCAGAGCUUCUGACCCGUCCUGGAGCGCCACCUAGUGGUCACAUGGGUGGUGGCACCCACCCCCUGGAAAACUGUGGAUGCCCAUGGAUAGGGUGGAUGCCCACACCUUGGGAGCCUUGACAUAGUUCCACUGGGACUGCUCUCAGGUACAGGGGCCACAGGAGCCCUCCACAGCGUUGGGGGGCAACUCAGGAAGCUGCUCCACUCAGUCCCACUCCUCCCUGGCUGCUUGAGCCAUCUCUGCUUUAGGAAUGCAUGGGAAUACCCCCACUUCUUUUGUCAUGCCCCAGUCUGGAUCACCUUUCUGUUUCUUCAUCUGUGAAAAUCCUACUCAUCUUUUAAAUCCCAGCAAGUCCUGUCAAGCCUGCCUUGUACUGCUGCUCAACAGUCCUCCAGAGCCGCCUGGUAGAGGUCACCACCAGCCUGUGCCUAAUCCCUGCAGUGGCCUCCUGAUUGCUCCCCUGGCUUUCCCCAUUGCCCCCUCCCCUGGGGGCCAUCCCUGAACAGCAGCCAGAGUGAUCUGUCGGAAACAUACAUCAUGUCACUCUCCAGCCUUCCCAGCAUGCUAAGAACACCACUUGCCUCGUCUUUACACUGAUGCCUGCAAGAUCUCACCCCACUUGUCCCCUGCCACCCUGCCUCCUGGUCCCCUACCAUGUGUCACCUCCUUCAUUCCCUUGCAGCCACAUGGGCAGCUUCCCGCUCCCGGGGAAGGCCAGCCUCCUUCCCAACUCAGGGCUUUUGCACAUGCUGUUCCCUCUAUCUAGAACAUUCUUCCACCAUGUGCCCUCCUUCAUUUGGGCCCUUAAUAAUAAAUGCCACCUUUCUUAGAGGGCUUCUGUGACUACUGUGUCCCCUGAGAAUUUCUAACUCCUUGCCAUCCUUAUUUUUCUUCAUGGCACUGCUUGAAAUUGUGUUACUUGUUUGCGUAUGAACCAUCAUGUCCCAUAUAAGAAGAGCCUGCUUAUUGGAGGGGGUGGCUGCUCAUUCCUGCCCCGCCCCCAGGACUCAGAACAGGCCAUGGCACUUGCUAAAUGGGGGCUCAGUUUGGGUGUGUGGAGUGCAAGAGAGAAGAAAAUGCCGCCUCCUCCAGGCAGCCUCUCCCCCACCCCUACCCCCGACCUUCCCUGCACGCAUGUGAGAACCGCUAUUUGCCUACUCACGGGGCUGCCUUGUCUUCCCUGCUCCUUUGGGGUCUCUCUCUAGACCUAGAGCAGCUUGAGAACAGGGGUGCACUCGAUUUUUGAGGUCACAGUGUAACUCCUGGCACCCAGGAGCUGCUCGGUCAGGGCCUUCCUGAGACUGGCACCUGGUGCAGGCAACCCACUUCCCAGGCUUUCUCCCCUUUAAAUUCUCACAGCAAUCCUGGAGGCAGGCGAUUGUAUGCUCUUUGGGUCUACAAGGAGUUUGCAAGGUCGCACCAGCAGGAAAGGCUGGAGCUGAGGGGUCAGAUCCCUGUCUGUGCCCUGCCCCCCAGGUCCUUGCAUGUCUGCUUUCCCCCUGCCUGGAAUAUUCUCAUCCCCCACCUGCCCUGAGUCCGCACUCAGGACUCUGCCCUGAGUCCGCCCGUCCUUUGGGGACUGAUUGCCUCCUCCAAACGGACAUUACUGGCCAGAGCAGAGUCCCAGGAAGGCAGGGCUCUGAAGAGGUUGUGGCUUCUUCUUCUGGCUCAGAAGGCAGCAGGCUACAGGUACUCAGUAAAUGUGGUCUGGCUGAUGGAUGGGCUCCUCAGACUCUGCAUACUUCCUGGGAGCUGCCGGAGCUGCUAAGGCUGGGGGAGGUGGGGGGGUGGGUCGGCUCUGUGGAGCAUAAAAUCAGACAGUUGUGGAGACUCGCAACCAGUGAAAGCGAAGUGUCCCCAGGUGAAGCCAGUGGCGUCACAGCCCCAGGGAUGCCAUGGAGAGAGCCAGUUUUCCGGCUCACGUGGAUGGCCGGCUGAGGCAGUGAUGGGUUUGCAUGGCCUGUGUGUCCACCAGCCCGAUGGGUCCCCUUCUCCUCCAUCUGUGGGAAACCUGUUCUUCAGGCACCUGAGAACAGCAGGCCUGUGGCCCCUUUGGACAGGGCAGCGGGACACAGGCGCCUGGGGGUCCGGCUCUGAGCAUCCCCCCGGUCCUGACUCUUUCCCUGCCCGCUGUGCCCCACCUCCUGGACUCCCUCUUGAAUGCUGGGGCCUCUCCUCUGACAAGUGGAAUAACUGUGAUCCCCUGUGUGUGUCUGGGACCCUCCAUAGUUGUUACAGGAUUUUGCCUGUGUCUUUUAAAAUCAGAUCCCUGAGUGACGGUAGGAGAUUUGUGUCGUGCUGUUUGCCGGGCAGGAAAACAGACAUGGAGAGGCUCAGGGCUUGUCUGGGUCUCACAGCUGAUGAGCACAGGCCCAUGGCCCUAUCUGACCUGUAGCCCUGUUCUCCCCCUUUCCCAGUCUCAGAGUUGGGGCAUGGGGCCUUGCAAACUCUGGGGCCAUGGGGAUGAGCCCCCAAGCAGUGCUGAUCUAAUGGC